UCUCAGUACGGCCUGUAAAAGGUGAAACCGCAAAAGGCUCAUUAUAUCGGUCAUGGUUCCUUGGAUCGUACAACGGUUACUUGGAUAACUGUGGUAAUUCUAGAGCUAAUACAUGCAACAGGGUCCCGACCGGCGACGGAAGGGACGCUUUUAUUAGACCGAACCGACCGGCGCGCCGUUCGCCCCUGCCGGGGAGAGCGGCCGUCGACCAUUUGGUGACUCUGAAUAACUUUGCCGAUCGCACGGUCUCCGACCGGCGACGCAUCCUUCAAAUGUCCGCCUCAUCAACUGUCGAUGGUAGGCUCUUGGCCUACCAUGGUUGUAACGGGUAACGGGGAAUCAGGGUUCGAUUCCGGAGAGGGAGCCUGAGAAACGGCUACCACAUCUAUGGAAGGCAGCAGGCGCGCAAAUUACCCACUCCCGGCACGGGGAGGUAGUGACGAUAUGUAACGAUACCGGACUCAUCCGAGGCCUGGUGAUCGUAAUGAGUAUACUCUAAACACUUGUACGAGUAUCGAUUGGAGGGCAAGUCUGGUGCCAGCAGCCGCGGUAAUUCCAGCUCCAAUAGCGUAUACUAGAGUUGUUGCGGUUAAAAAGCUCGUAGUUGGAUUUGGGUCCCGCGCGGCCGGUUCACCGAGUGCGGUGCACACCGCGCCGCCGCGGGACUUCAAGCCGGCGGCGGUCGGGCCCGGCGUCGGUUAGUACGGGAGGUCUCGGCCACGAGCCGGCGACCGACCGGGAAGCCGAGGCCCCGCUCCGGCCGCCUAAGCAUCCCGUCCCGGCGCUCGCAGGGCGCCGAGGCGGGCCGGCCCGUUUUACUUUGAACAAAUAAGGUUGCUCUAAGCGGGCUUGCACGCUCGAAUUUGGUCGCAUGGAAUAAUCGAAUAGGACUUCGGUUCUAGUCAGUUGGUUCUAAGAACCGAGGUAAUGAUCAAUGUGGACGGGCGGGGGCAUUCGUACUGCGACGUUAGAGGUGAAAUUCUUGGAUCGUCGCAAGACGGACCUCAGCGAAAGCAUUUGCCAAGUACGUUCCCGUCGAUCAAGAACGAAAGUUAGAGGUUCGAAGGCGAUCAGAUACCGCCCUAGUUCUAACCAUAAACUGUGCCUGCCAGCGAUCCGCCGAAGUUCCUCCGAUGACUCGGCGGGCAGCUUCCGGGAAACCAGAGCUUUUCGGUUCCGGGGGAAGUAUGGUUGCAAAGCUGAAACUUAAAGGAAUUGACGGAAGGGCACCACCAGGAGUGGAGCCUGCGGCUUAAUUUGACUCAACACGGGGAAACUCACCAGGCCCGGACACCGUAAGGAUUGACAGAUUGACAGCUCUUUCUUGAUUCGGUGGGUGGUGGUGCAUGGCCGUUCUUAGUUGGUGGAGCGAUUUGUCUGGUUAAUUCCGAUAACGAGCGAGACUCUAGCCUGCUAAAUAGCCGUACCCGGUAUCCUUUGCGCUACCGGCGUACAAUCAAUUCUUCUUAGAGGGACCGGCGGCGUAUAGCCGCACGAGAAUGAGCAAUAACAGGUCUGUGAUGCCCUUAGAUGUCCUGGGCCGCACGCGCGCUACACUGAAGCGAUCAGCGCGUUUCCCCGGUCCGAGAGGACCGGGCAACCGUCUGAACCCGCUUCGUGCUAGGGACUGGGGCCUGAAAUUGUUCCCCACGAACGAGGAAUUCCCAGUAAGCGCCGGUCAUCAGCCGGCGUUGAUUAAGUCCCUGCCCUUUGUACACACCGCCCGUCGCUACUACCGAUCGGACGGUUAGGCGAGGUCUUCGGACCGGCCGUCGGACUCCCCUUCGGGGAGACCGUAACGCCGCGAAGUCUACCGAGCUUGGUCGUUUAGAGGAAGUAAAAGUCGUAACAAGGUUUCCGUA
RNAcentral lists this ribosomal RNA (1862 nucleotides) under Choutagus longicephalus. Its description in RNAcentral is "SSU rRNA". It matches the Rfam family "Eukaryotic small subunit ribosomal RNA". The record is from RNAcentral. Lineage: Eukaryota; Metazoa; Arthropoda; Insecta; Hemiptera; Issidae.